CAGUCGCCACGGUAAUACGAAGGGGGCUAGCGUUGCUCGGAAUGACUGGGCGUAAAGGGCGCGUAGGCGGCGGCCAAAGUCAGGCGUGAAAUUCCCGGGCUCAACCUGGGGGCUGCGUUUGAUACUUGGUUGCUUGAGUGGGGAAGAGGGUCGUGGAAUUCCCAGUGUAGAGGUGAAAUUCGUAGAUAUUGGGAAGAACACCGGUGGCGAAGGCGGCGACCUGGUCCUUUACUGACGCUGAGGCGCGAAAGCGUGGGGAGCAAACAGGAUUAGAUACCCCCGUAGUCCCUGUCUCUUAUAC
Molecule: ribosomal RNA, 301 nt
Filed under: uncultured bacterium
Lineage: Bacteria
Description: partial 16S ribosomal RNA
Rfam family: Bacterial small subunit ribosomal RNA
Source: RNAcentral